Molecule: long non-coding RNA, 452 nt
Organism: Triticum aestivum (bread wheat)
Lineage: Eukaryota; Viridiplantae; Streptophyta; Magnoliopsida; Poales; Poaceae
Exons: 2
Source: RefSeq, a predicted model, not a curated record
GAUGACUAUACGUCGAACAGCUUUUCUGCCUCGCUAGGCCCGGCGGCCAUUCAUCGUUUCUCGUGGCAGCUGGGUUUGCGACGGAUCGCCAUGGAUGGGGUGGAGUUUUUCUUCGAGGAAGCCGAAUUAGGAUUGGUUCCCAGGGUGGAUGCCAGUGAUCUUUUAGGGGGAGAUAUCGCUGCUGUGGAAUCGGUCGUUGCUUCAACCCAAGCAAGAUUUUCAAGAUUGAUUUUCAGUACUGCCGAUGCUCGAAAUUCAGUUUGCUAGCUUAAUAAUCAGCUGUUUGUCAAAUGGAAGAUUUUCCGAACUGCUUGUGCCUGCGUAGUUGUGAGCUUGUUUCUAUGUUUGUGUUCGCUCGUUCAUCACUUGUUUAAAAAAAUCGUGUAAUGCACUGACUUUGUCAUGGUGCUCUGUUCAAGAGUGUGAGUUAACUGUAUCAGCGAUUGGAAUUC